This is a non-coding RNA of Helianthus annuus (common sunflower), 47 nucleotides long. Lineage: Eukaryota; Viridiplantae; Streptophyta; Magnoliopsida; Asterales; Asteraceae. The record is from Rfam.
UAACAGGACCCAUUUGGGUCCACACUACGGAAACUUACGCGAGCUGG